Molecule: ribosomal RNA, 422 nt
Filed under: uncultured bacterium
Lineage: Bacteria
Description: partial 16S ribosomal RNA
Rfam family: Bacterial small subunit ribosomal RNA
Source: RNAcentral
GAAUUUUGGACAAUGGGGGCAACCCUGAUCCAGCCAUGCCGCGUGGGUGAAGAAGGCCUUUUGGUUGUAAAGCACUUUAAGCAGUGAAGAAGACUCCAUGGUUAAUACCCAUGGACGAUGACAUUAGCUGCAGCAUAAACACCGGCUAACCCUGUGCCAGAAGCCGCGGUAAUAAAGAGGGUGCAAGCGUUAAUCGGAAUUACGGGGCGUAAAGCGAGCGUAGGUGGCUUGAUAAGUCAGAUGUGAAAUCCCCGGGCUUAACCUGGGAGCUGCAUCUGAUACUGUUAGGCUAGAAUAGGCGAGAGGAAGGUAGAAUUCCAGGUGUAGCGGUGAAAUGCGUAGAGAUCUGGAGGAAUACCGAUGGCGAAGGCAGCCUUCUGGCAUCAUAUUGACACUGAGGUUCGAAAGCGUGGGUAGCAAAC